This 82-nucleotide transfer RNA is filed under the name Candidatus Woesearchaeota archaeon. Its description in RNAcentral is "tRNA-Ser". It matches the Rfam family "tRNA". From Rfam's summary of the family: Transfer RNA (tRNA) molecules are approximately 80 nucleotides in length. Their secondary structure includes four short double-helical elements and three loops (D, anti-codon, and T loops). Further hydrogen bonds mediate the characteristic L-shaped molecular structure. tRNAs have two regions of fundamental functional importance: the anti-codon, which is responsible for specific mRNA codon recognition, and the 3' end, to which the tRNAs corresponding amino acid is attached (by aminoacyl-tRNA synthetases). tRNAs cope with the degeneracy of the genetic code in two manners: having more than one tRNA (with a specific anti-codon) for a particular amino acid; and 'wobble' base-pairing, i.e. permitting non-standard base-pairing at the 3rd anti-codon position. Lineage: Archaea; Nanobdellati; Candidatus Woesearchaeota. The record is from RNAcentral.
GCCACGGUGGCACAAUCUGGUACUGCGCAGGAUUGGAAAUCCUGUCCCUUUGGGAUUCCCGGUUCAAAUCCGGGCCGUGGCG